GCGGGCGGCGGCGGGCGAGCCGGCGCAGGAGCAGGAGGAGGGGGAGCCGCGCCGCCAGGGAGGGAAGCCGGGGCGAGGCGAGGAGGUGGCGGGAGGAGGAGACAGCGGGGAAAGGUGUCAGAUAAAGGAGGGCUCUCCUCCGGUUUGGAGUCAUCAUGGCCGCUAAGUCAGACGGGAGGCUGAAAAUGAAGAAGAGCAGCGACGUGGCGUUCACCCCGCUGCAGAACUCGGACCACUCGGGCUCCGUGCAGGGGUUGGCUCCGGGCUUGCCGUCGGGGUCGGGAGCCGAGGACGAGGAGGCGGCCGGGGGCGGCUGCUGCCCGGACGGCGGCGGCUGCUCGCGCUGCUGCUGCUGCUGCGCUGGGAGCGGCGGCUCGGGCGGCGGCUCCGGGGGCUUGGGCGGCCCGGGCGGCGGCGUUGGCGGCCCGGGCAGCAGCGGGGCGGGCUCGGCGGCGCUGUGCCUGCGCCUGGGCAGGGAGCAGCGGCGCUACUCGCUGUGGGACUGCCUCUGGAUCCUGGCCGCGGUGGCCGUGUACUUCGCGGACGUGGGCACGGACAUCUGGCUUGCCGUGGACUACUACUUGCGCGGCCAGCGCUGGUGGUUCGGGCUCACGCUCUUCUUCGUGGUGCUCGGCUCGCUCUCCGUGCAAGUGUUCAGCUUCCGCUGGUUUGUGCACGAUUUCAGCACCGAGGACAGCGCCACGACCGCAACUGCCUCCACACAGCCUGGAGCCGAUUGCAAGACGGUGGCCAGCAGUGGGUCUGCAGCCGCGGAAGGCGAGGCUCGUCCUUCCACGCCGCAAAGGCAAGCAUCCAACGCCAGUAAGAGCAACAUCGCCGCCACCAACAGCGGCAGCAACAGUAGCGGGGCCACCCGGGCCAGCGGCAAACACAGGUCUGCGUCCUGCUCCUUCUGCAUCUGGCUCCUGCAGUCACUCAUCCACAUCUUGCAGCUCGGGCAAAUCUGGAGAUAUUUCCACACCAUCUACUUAGGCAUUCGAAGUCGACAGAGUGGGGAGAAUGACCGGUGGAGGUUUUACUGGAAAAUGGUGUAUGAGUAUGCAGAUGUGAGUAUGCUGCACUUGCUAGCCACCUUUCUGGAAAGUGCGCCACAGCUGGUCCUGCAGCUCUGCAUUAUCGUACAGACUCAUAGCUUACAAGCCCUCCAAGGUUUCACAGCAGCAGCCUCCCUUGUGUCUUUGGCUUGGGCCUUGGCCUCCUACCAGAAGGCCCUCCGGGACUCUCGAGAUGACAAGAAGCCUAUCAGCUACAUGGCGGUUGUCAUCCAGUUCUGCUGGCACUUCUUUACCAUUGCCGCCAGAGUCAUCACCUUCGCCCUCUUUGCCUCGGUUUUCCAGCUGUACUUUGGGAUCUUCAUCGUCCUCCACUGGUGCAUCAUGACCUUCUGGAUCGUCCACUGUGAGACAGAAUUCUGCAUCACCAAAUGGGAAGAGAUUGUGUUCGAUAUGGUGGUGGGGAUCAUCUACAUCUUCAGCUGGUUCAACGUCAAGGAAGGCAGGACACGCUGCAGGCUCUUCAUUUACUAUUUUGUGAUCCUAUUGGAAAAUACAGCCUUGAGUGCCCUCUGGUACCUCUACAAGGCUCCCCAGAUUGCAGAUGCAUUUGCCAUCCCAGCGCUGUGUGUGGUAUUCAGCAGCUUUUUAACUGGCGUCGUUUUUAUGCUGAUGUACUAUGCCUUCUUUCACCCCAAUGGACCCCGAUUCGGGCAGUCACCAAGUUGUGCUUGUGAGGACCCAGUCGCUGCCUUCACUCUGCCUCCAGAAGUGGCCACGAGCACACUCCGGUCCAUCUCCAACAACCGCAGCGUCGCCAGCGACCGCGACCAGAAAUUCGCAGAGCGGGAUGGGUGCGUACCUGUCUUUCAGGUGAGGCCCACUGCCCCCUCCACACCAUCCUCUCGCCCACCCCGGAUUGAAGAAUCUGUCAUUAAAAUUGACCUGUUCAGGAAUAGGUACCCGGCGUGGGAGAGACACGUUUUGGACCGAAGCCUUCGAAAGGCCAUUCUAGCCUUUGAAUGUUCCCCGUCUCCUCCAAGGCUGCAGUACAAAGAUGAUGCCCUUAUUCAGGAGCGGUUGGAGUAUGAAACCACUUUAUAAAAUAGAAGGCCUCGGAGGAGCCACAACCUCCAGUGAAGGGGUAACAGCAGGGCCGUGGCAAUAAUGAAACUGUCCUAGAAUAGGGCAACGGGCUGUAAUGUGCUUCGUCGGACCCUCCGUCAGCUGACCGCCUGCUGCUGGCCUCCUUUCAAAAGAGCAGCUGAAGGGAAAGAACCGAACCGAACCGUGCCUGCUCAGUAGGACUCCUUGUUGCUACCAGCCCCUCCUGCCCACUUUUAGCGUGUCCACCAGAGGGUACUAUGAGCACGGAAAACAUUGCCUCCAAUCAAUAGGGUGUUUUGAUGGAGUUAACUGAUCUUUGCAUAAAAAUAUACUCAAUCACAUACACACAUACACACACACACAUACACACACAUGCUAACACACACGGCACCAGUCCUCUGUCAAAAUAGCUUAGAUGAUUUCUUUUCUAGAUGCAAAGCUCUGAUUCUGAAUAUAAAAACAAAGAGAGAGAGAAUAUAUCCUUCAAGACUCCAGAAAAAAACAAAACAAAACAAAAAAUAGUACUACUUAGAAAAGAAUUUCAUAGACCAUUCUCAUUUGGAAACCACUACCAUGCGUUCAAAUCCCACCACGGACAGCAAACUCAACUGUCGUUUACAUAUGUAUUCAAAUCAAUGGAAUGGUUCAUUUUCAACACAUUUCAGGAUUUGUUUUUUAUUUUAAAUUUCAGUCGAGAACAUCCUUUCUGACAGAAAUCCUAUGCAGCACAUCUAUGGUUUUCGACAAGACCAAGGAGCUCAGUGAUUUCAUGAUGUAAAUUAAAUGAAAAUCAUGGUUCAGUAUUCAGUUGCAAAAAUUUAAUAAGUACAUGAAGAGGAAGCAGGGAAACAAGGCAAAAACGAGCAUCUGACUUCCCAGCCUGCCGCAGUUCACCGGGGCAGGGAGGUGCAGAGCGGCAGGAGAGAAACAUGCUGAACUGGGUGUUUCGAGACACAGAAAAGCGUGGCUCUGUGUGACGGCUACGGAGCAUGCCAUGCCACACCCUCCUAGUGCCAAACAGCAUCCAACCACAGGACUGACGUGGAAGUCCCAAACACCGGAGAACGAGCGGCAUGAGCCCCCCAAACGUGGACGUGAGAGCAUACCAUCACAUUCCCCAUUGUGUACAGACUAACCCCCCCAAUCCAAGGUCAAAGUGAUGUGUCUUUUAGAGGCUUUGGGACACUUUUUAGUAAGUAUAAGCAGACAAUGCAGUGAAUAUGCUAUGAGAAAACCUUCCAAAUUGAUUGAGGGCUUAUCACUAGAUCCAGCUAAGAUUUGUAUUUGAACCAUUUGUACAGUCGCACUCUUACAACAAACUUCUGGGUUUUAAAUACCUCCGUACAGCAAGUAAACGUUCCCUGCUUUCUGUUCCCAGUGUCCUCGGUCAUGGUGCUUUUUGUUGCAUUAAAAGUGCCGGUCAAACUUUGAUAGUAUUUUUUUAUAGUUGGUGCAGAGUGGAAUAACUCAUGGAUUAUUUCAAUAUUUUUGUAAUAAAAAUAUAGGGUAUACAUAUAGGCAUCAUCACUUUUUUUAUAGACCUGGAAUUGUUUAAAAUACUUUAAGCAUCAUAAUUACUUGGGAUGUCAGAAACUGAUCCACAAAUUUCGUCAGCCUGCCUCAGCACAUUAAGAACGCUUGUGUCUUACAAGAUCACCCAAUUUUGCAAUGUUGGUGCCCCCAGGAACCUGGCCAGGGGUGCUAUCAGAAUAUCAGGUGACAAGAGAAUCAGCUUAACUAGAAAGGGCUUGUCAAGACUGGCCAAUGUUUCCCAGGAUGUGAAAGCUAUAAAUGAUUACUUUCAUCCAUCCAUUCUCACAAAUCUGACCACAGUGGAAGAUGUCUUAAACUUCCUUCCCUGGUUUUAUAUUAACCCAACUUAUAUAUUAACUAUUAGUCAAGUCACUAAAAAAAAAAAAAAAAAAAAAAAAAUGAUGAGAGAGAGGGAGAGAAGAGAAAAAGUCCGUUUAGCUUAAUUAUUCGGUUAUUUGGACUGUACAAUCCACUUAAAUUAGUCAUGUUCAAUAGCCACCUGCUGUAGUGGGUACGUCAUAGAGACUGCUGUCCCCGUCACAUCCACAGGAAAUGGCAGAGGGCUCAACCUAUGACUUCCUUUGGUACAAAGCCCUAGAGCAAUAUUUUAAAAAUAGCUGUUUUUUGUUUUUUGUUUUUUUUUAUCAGUAGACAUAUUUUCCUAGUGCUCCAUGAUUUGAUCCUCCAAGCAAGAUUUCCACUAAAAAAUAAUAACCUCUUGUUCGGAUGUGAAAAGAUUACCUAGUCGCCAGUAGAGGCCCAGGAAGACGCUCUUCUUGUCAGCAAUUGGUGAAAACAUUGCACCCCCAUUGUAGAAGGAAAAAAAUUAUUAUAUUGGCAAAAAUUCUUCACUUUUGUGCAGGACCAUGAGUUAUUAGCUUCCUUAUUUCCAAGAAAACUUUUAAUUGAUGAUCUUUGGAAAUUGAAUGGCUCAGUUGAACUAUACCUUUGAUUCCAUGAGUAAAUACCAGAUUACAGAUAGAGUGAUCGAUCAACACAAACUCAGCAGGCCCCACCAUGCCUCAAUCAUAAACAUCUUGGAACUUGUCAAGCUUUACUGAAGGUGAUUUGCGUUAAUUAAUGCAACAGACCCUUUAAUCUUGCAAAUUCUUGACUUGUAAUAUUGUAGCCAAGCUACUGCGAGGGAAAAUUAAUCAGUUAGUGGGAAGGAGCCCUCGUUCUGUGCUGAGCUGUACCCAGGCCUGAAGAGAAAGACCUCUGUGAAGUAGAGCACUAAUGAAUUCGUGCUACCUGCUUCCUCAUCAUUCAUGCAAUGAAUAUUCAUCUACUUCAUUUGUUUUUGACAGUAAGCGCUGCUUUGAAAGAAAAAAAGUGUCAAUGGAUUCCUGGGGCUUGCAUAGCUCAGAGAAUAGGUACUGGGUCAUGGAGAAUCCUUAAAUGAAUACAAAUCUACUUGUUUGGAAAUGAAAAAAAAAAAAAAAAAGUCAUUGUUAUCUCUUUAAUGAUUGAUCUGAGUACCGUGGCUGCCCUCACUUGGUUUCUUGAGAGUACUGUUGUCAGCAUUGUAAUAACAAAUUUAUGAAAAUUGAAUCUGUAAUUCCAUUUCAGAGGUAAAAUCUGCACGGAUGUAACUGUUAAGUAAUUUGAUUCCCGCCUUCCUGCAAUUAACCUUCGACAAUUGGGUGGUGACAUUGCCGGUUUCAAACUGAGGUACCUAAGUUUACGGUAUUGGCCCUCCUGUUGUUUCUGAGUCCUGACCAAACAUCAGUUACAAACUCUGAGAUCAAGUAGAGAUUCUUAUUGCCUAAAUGUUCGUUUCAAAGUAAACUAAUAGUCUCAUAAUUUGAAAAAAUCAUGGUUCUUUCCCACUUGCUUCUCUGUUUUCCAAGAAAGAUUUGAGUUGCAAGAUAAGAAUGAAUAUACUUUCACAUCAUUGUCUCAGAGUUUGCAAGUAUCAGGCUUCCUUAUGUUUUUAUAAAGUUUCUGUCUAACCUUCUAGUAGAACAAUUUCAGGAGUGAACCCUAGAUCAAUGAGUGAAAGUCAUAAGGGUUAUCCAAAGAGCAACCUAGCAGAAAAAUUUUAGAAAAGAAGCAGGGAUCCUUUUUCUUGGGUUUCAAAGAUGUUUCUCCUUGCUAAGUGACCAUCUUAGUGAUUUGAGAGCUACUGAAUGGUAGUCCCAGUUAGAAGUGUCAGGAUUGUGCUGCAUACUCUAUUCUGUCAAAGUCAUUUUUCAGAACUAACUCUUGGCACCAGCACUGAAAUUUAAUGGCAAAAACUGGCCUACUACCAUGUAAUUUAUUUUCAAUUGCAAGGCAAUGAAAACUAAUAAGUUGAAGAAAAAUUUAAUUUCCUGAACUCCAAAGCCAAAAUGGGCACAAAGACACUCUGUAACAUACAAUGAGCUGGUUGACUGUGGGGACGCAGGGGCAAUAAACAAUCCUCUUAAGCACGGCUCAUGAGUGAGAGGCUAUAAGCUGUGUUGGGACAGAAGGUGAUUGAAGAGGAUGUCUACCAGUUGCUCAUCAGGAAUAUCUGCCUUUUUAUAGAGCAGAGGUUCAAAGUAGCCCCUGCCAUUCCCUAACUAUGAGGAUAGAUACAUCCAUAUAUGAAGGGCCAAGGCAGAAGACAGAGAAGAUAUCAGGGCCUUCAUGUCUGAGACUAACUCUGUCUUUAAGGAAACAGCUGUCCUUGGUCAUUGGCCCCUAUGCUGCUAGCUAGCUCUGCAUGCCAAGAACUUCUGAUGGACUACAAGAUGAGAUAUUUAAAGGUAUCGUAAGUAUUCUUGCUUGUAGAACAUGAACCACUGAAUUAGCCCUCCUUUUCAACAGCAACCAGAUUCAGGGUUACUAUGGCCUUACUCAUCAUCCCAUUGUAAAUAUAUCAUGACAUCAUGAUGGCCUCUGUGUUCAAAUUCACUAAACCAGGUUUACAUGUCCUAGGUCUGUGUAUCUAUCCCCAAUUUGGAAAAAAAUAAUUUUUUGAGAAUGAUCUUUAGAAUAAUGGAAGUGAAAAAAAAAAGUGGACAGUUGAGUAAUUUUUCACCAUCCUCGAAACCACUAGAGUGCUGAUAGCCCUAAAGCUCUGAUUUUUUUCUUUUUUCUCAUGAGUAAGUUUCUUUUUACUUAGGGCUUUCAACAUCUGAAUUUUCCAAAUGAUCGCUAAACCAUCUUCACUAAACUGAAGUAGACACUAUGGCAUUGUUAAAAAAUAAAGACUGUACACAUGAAAGCAAAUAUCCAAUGAAAAGUGAAGAAGUAAGUCACUCAAGCAGUAAAUUUGGUCUUUGUGACAUCAAACAUUUGAAUACUUAGGAAAAUCCAUGUGUUUGAAUGAUAGAAUUUUUCAUCUGGUUGUCUGGUGUUGUCUAGAUAGACAGAAAAUGCUCAGGUGUUGUAGGUAAUGAGAUUUAACUUUCUCGUGCAGUAAUCUAUUGCUGGUGAUAUUCUGCUGCUCAAAAUCUCUUUGUUGUGCAAAGAGGAAUAAAUAAUGCAGAGCAAAUGCUAUUUGAUUUUUAUUUACUUUUGGCAGACACGUGAAUGGAAAAGGUUUGGGAGGUUGUCCCAGGGGUAUUUAGAUGUGAUUAUGGCACAGACCUCCUUCAGAAAGACUGUUUUGGAGGCCUGCCACUCUGCUUCUUCCUGCCAAGGAAACUUUUUAUUCCGUUCCUUUCCAUCCUUUCUCAUUCUAUAAUUGCCUCCUGUUCUUCACAUAAUCUUCAUUGUUCCCAAAGUCUACUUGACAGAACUGUUCAAGAGAAAUACAAGUUUGUUAACUUUUUAUUCUUCAAAUAGGAAGUUUUCAUUUUAAGGAUUAUAUCUUUCAAGCAGAAAAAUAAUGUGAAUGACUCAAUGCAGUUAUUUUAUGGUGCAUGUUUUGGUGUUGAUAGAAGUAAAAGCGUUUUUUGGUUUUAUUGCUGUUGUUGUUGUUGUUGUUUGGUUUGUUGAUGUCCUUUUGAUUGUCAAGGACUCACUGGUUAUACAUAUUGGAACCUUAGUGUUUCCUUUGUAAUCAUGGAAAAGAGAAAAUGUCAUCAAAGGGAAGUUCACUUUCCGGAAAGAAGGAGGUUGCGAUAGUCACACGACUCUUGUAUUUGUGAUUAUCUGUGGACAUUUCUUCCUUGUUUCAUCUGAUUGGGCUCUGGAUUGGUGAGUGUAUUUCUUCAAAUCGUGUGCUUACCCCAUUUACUGUUCUGAAGCCGGAGAGAAACGCAGGCAAGUUCUUCAGACUGAUUUUAUUUUCUGUGAGCUUAUGCUGCAGAACUCACUCUGAGGCAUUAACUGUAAGCAGGCACACAGAAGGUAUGCAGCUAUGCAAAGGUCAUGAGAGGAUUUCCGGAGAAAAUCUAAAUAUUUGUUUUGUACAUUCUUAGGUAGUGUUUUGAUUGUGUCAAACUCUCCAUUUCAGUGCCAACUUAGAAUGACUUCAUGGGGUAAGUUGUCCUCAUCCUUGUUGGCUCCCUCCUCCCAUUAGUUGAAGAAGUUUCCCUGAAAUCAAAAUGGGUGCUCCACCUUGUGUAGCAAGGGCUUCCAGCCGCUAGGUGUCACUGCUCUGUGCUAACUGUGUUUCAUCAAUGCUCCUUUGGGUGCUCUUUGGAUGCUCCUUUGGACGGUUUGCUAGUCCCACACCUGUGAAAGCCUUCCAGGCCAAGAGAGCUGCUAGUUCCUGUCACAGAUGUACAUACCAACCUGAUUUGGCUCUGCUUUCCUUUUUCCUUGAGAUUUUUACUUCACUCAAUCCUCUUAGAAAUCUUUGUACCUUCAUGUUACCGACAGGAUAUUUAGUUCAAUGUUUCAGUCAGCUGGCAAUAAAGAGGGAACAAUCAGUUGGCAACUACAAAAACAUCAAGCACUUUGUUUCAGUUAUCUUUUAUUAUGUAGUAAUUGAAUAGAAUUAAUGGUUUAGUAGAAAGCUAAAAAUCCCUGUGUUGAAUAUAAUGACUUUUUAAAAUAUACUGAAAUAUAUUCUUUGAAGCAGUAUCCUUUUACACUAUGAAGUCUGUUCCUUUCUGGAGACAAGAACAUGGAGGGGCCCAGGUCCACCAGUGGAAACACAGGGGCCUGGAAGCUGAGUCACUGGAGUCUUCAUUCCUGGUUGGUCACUUCAGCCUCAGAAACUCCUCUUCAGCCUCUUUUGUUCCAUAUGUAAAAGAGAGAGAAUCUUUAUCUACCUACCUCAUAGUGGUGUUGUGAAGAUGAACUAAGUUGAUAAAGUGCUUUGACACUUGACAACUAGCAUCAGCACAAAGGAGGCCUGUGUGCAGCCCUGAAAAGGCUGUGGGGUGGGGGGGUGGAGACAGUCUAGCAACACGACAGCAAUAAGUCACCAAGGCAGAGAGUAUGAUUAUUCAUGGUCACUUCACAGAAGUGAAACCUUUUCUUCAAAGGUCUAUAGAGAACUUUUUUUUUUUUAAUUAUCAGCUUUUUAAUGAGAAAAAUGAACUCCUUUCAUACAAACAUUGAGAAGCUUCAUAUAGAAUGGCAAUUUUCCUCUUAGCCAAACUGCAUUUUGCUAAAUAUUUAUUAAAUAUAUCCAGAGGACUGGGCUCCUUCUGAUGCCUAAUCCCUGAUUCGCAUGCCUGAUCCCAACUUGCAUUUUCCAGAAUGCCUGCACAAUACCUGAGUUCAGGACUAAUGAUUGCCAAGGGGUGUUCUGGAAUCCGCUACCAGGAGGAAACAUUUUUAAUAGAUAUUAUUGGGAUUAGAUUUUGUUGUUUACGGUGACAUUCUUUUUCAUCCCUAAGAUGGUACAUCUCUCCCUUUGCAACCCAAUAAAAGAAUGUGAAGCCUUAUUUCUUCCUGGAACUUCUGAGUUGGUUUAUUUUCAGAUUAUAAAUAAAUUUUAAAAUUUUCAGAGAAGUGUUUACACAAGGGCUUCUAUAUAGUGAUUUACAAGUAUACUUACACAUGCAUAGAUCUGAGUGUACAACUAUAGAACAAAGGAGAUGGUGGGGAAACAACCAUAGGGAAAAUCCUAUACAACUUCUCCCAAAAGUAAAUGCUUUUUCUUACUUAAAUAUUUAGUCCUGGUAAGAACUAGUGCUAAAUAACAUAAUUUGGAGUUAUAAAUAUUUGUCAUUUUUGAGUCAUGGAGGCAAUAUUGUAAAGCAGGAAUACAACCGUGGAACUAUACUAACCAUUCAGGUAGUGUUUGAAAGAUGUGACUUCGCGGGAGAAAGUGAUGUACAUAAAUAUUGUCAUUGUGCCCUUAGUUAAUAAUUAUAUUCUUUUGCCAAAAAAAAUGCAUGCUUUUAAAAAUAUGAACUAAGGUUUCAGAAAGUUUAUCUUGUUAAGUGGGUUUAAAAUCAUGUUGUGCCUGGAGAUAACAUAACGUACACAUUCAACAUAAUCUCUUCUGGAUUCUAAAAUCUAGUUUCUGGUAUAUAGCUUAAAAUUUCAGAUUGGUGAAACAUUUCUAAUGCAUGGAAUUAAAUUUUCUGAAGCAUGAAUUUAACCUAGGCAAUUAUCUGAUCCAUUAAAAAAAUGUUUAUGUUGCCACAUCAGACUUAAGAUAAAUACCAUUUUUCAGACUCAAAAUAUGAGAAUAGUGAGUCAAGAUUAUUUGAAUUUCUCUGAUCUUUUUUCCCAGUCCCAAGCAUCAAUAUUUUUCAAACCAAAAGUGCAGCAGAAUAUCCUUGUUUUCAAAGGGAAAUAUACAUGUCUUUCUAUUAUUUUUGUGCAAGAAAACUGAAGUUAACUGCACUAGAUUCAGGGGUAUGCAAAUAAGAAGAGGUGUGGCAGCCUCUGAGGGGGGUUGGCCAGGUGCAGUGGGGAUAACUCAUAAUUGGGAGGUUUUACAACAACGGCACAAAACAGAGUCUAAAAGUAGUAGAACUGAACAGCUCUUUGAAAUGAUAGAAAUGAAAUUAUUCACCAAAGAGAUGAAAAAACAGGUGGAGACAACAUGCUAUUAGACAGAAACUAUACAUCUAAUUACUGGGAAAAGGGAAAUUUGAGCCCCCUAUAUUGACCCUUAAGUCUGGAAAGCCCACAUGAAACUGGCCAGUCUUCCUUCAAAAUAGUAGACUUAAUAAGGAAACAAAUUUUUAGCAAAGAUACAUGUGACUAUACGGUCAUGGACCAACCAAUAUGUAAUUAUCAUGUAUGUGAUGCUUCAUAAAUGCAGUUGUCAAAUUUUAUUACUUCUAAUUAAUUCUAUCUCAUAACAUGUGGCAGAAAACACAUAGAAAAUUCUCUUUUGCUCCAAAGUAAUGCCUGCCAACUUAUUUAUACCCACUCUUAUCCCUGGUAUAUUAUUAUCACCAAGCUCCUUUCAUACCUAGAUGGUAUGAGAUAGCUAAAAAAUGUUUUCAGCAAAUUAUUUAUUGAAGGUCUCACCUGAAGCUUCUCUUUAGUGAAGGUGGCAGGAGGAGAGGGGACUUGGGUAAGAACUUUGCCUCUAUUAAACUGUCUCUGCUUUUCUUCUCAGUUACCAGACAGCUCAGUAGCCGGGAGAGCAAGAUGAUGUAAGACAUGCAAAUUGGGUUUUUCCCAUUCUCAGAGCAAGGAGGGCAACCAAUGAGCCAGAGGUUACCACACCUUUGAAACCAAAUAGUACAUGGAAUUUAGGGCUAAGACAAACAAACAAACAAACAUUGUAAAGCAUGAGCAACAUCAUCUUUCCUGUUGGUUCUUUCCUUGGUUUUUAUUGAAUUCUUUUUACAGUUUAGAUCAGAAGUUUCUAGUAAUGAUAAGUAAUGCCAUUUUAUGUUAUAGCUUCAAUGCAGAAAUGGUGAAAACAUGAGUCACAAACAAAACUACCAGGAAUACAGACUUUGUCUGUAGUGACACCUUACCUAGCAAAUUGGAAACAAAUACUACUUAAUAUUCUGAUUUCAUUAAUAACAUCUAGUUUAAAAAAAAAAAAGAGCAUUUUGCUCAGCAUUAAACCAUUGCACAAUAUAAAACUGCUUCCAAAUGGCAAGGAUUUUUGCUACUGACAUUUGUUCUUCAUUCUGCAGUUAUUUUAAGUAACUAAUUUUCACAUCUAACUACCUCAGCUACCGUUCUUUUAUUUAGAAAUAUGAAAUCAUGCACUUUGUAACCAAUAAGUUUUUCAUUUAAAAUUUCAAAAGGAUACUCGGUGCAAAGCAAUUUUCAAAAAUUUGUAUAUGAUAUAAGAAACCCAACCUCAGGAGGUUGUUCUUAAUUUUGUUUGUUUCUAAGUUCGAUUGGGGUAAAAUCUCGUUUCCACGUAACACGAAGAGAAGCUGCUCUAUAUUUGCUUAAUUUGCCUUAAAAAUUUUGUGCUCCUCUCCCUGUUCAAUUUUUUUUGUUUGUUCUAAAUCUAUCUCUGAAAAGAAAAUGUAACAGGUGGCAGAUGAACAUCAAACAAGAGAAUGGACCAAUCAUUUCUCAGUUCCCUGUUUUCAACUCUGCAUGACAUUCUGAUUGUGCAAAAUUGCCAUUCCUGUGCUUCUCUCUCCCAUGACCAUUCCAGAAGGUCUGAGAGACCGAACGUGUGUGUUUAGGGAACGGUGUAGACAUUUCCCCCAGUACGAGCACAGUGCCUGGACCCGAAUGAUAACCUUGGCAUUUCUUGUGCUUUUACUUUGUAAACAUUGUACAAAUGUAUUUGGAAUUUUAUUUGAAAUGAAGAAUUAAACUAGUUAUUAAUUUUUUUCUUUCCUGUAAAUAUAUAUAUUCAAACUCCAUGUAUCCAAACAUUCCUUUAGCGUUCGGAUUGUAAGAGUGUCUUUAUUGGCUGGAGGCCGCCGUCUCAGGCCAUGGUCCCAUGUGCUCUAGUUGAAAGCACAGUGUGUGGAGUAUUUGAUGUACUAUACUACCAUAGUUAUUUUGGUCUGUUAAGUAAGUUGCAAUUUGUGAUGAAAUGAAGUGGAAAGUAGUGCUUCAUAAUGAACAAAUUUCCUUGGUUACAUGAUUUUUUCUUGUAAAACUUUAAAAAAAAACUUGAAAUUUUAUAUAUUUGGAUUUUGUAGAUUUUUUUUUUAUUUUAUUGCAACACAAGGUACCAAAAUCAUUAAAUAAAGUACACUGUGGUCAU
Mustela erminea (ermine) is the source of this 12615-nucleotide RNA transcript. It is a transcript of the gene named XK related 4, with no coding region annotated. Lineage: Eukaryota; Metazoa; Chordata; Mammalia; Carnivora; Mustelidae. The transcript is spliced from 4 exons. The record is from RefSeq and is a predicted model, not a curated record.